AUUGAACGCUGGCGGCAUGCCUUACACAUGCAAGUCGAACGGUAACAGGUCUUUCGGGAUGCUGACGAGUGGCGAACGGGUGAGUAAUACAUCGGAACGUGCCUAGUAGUGGGGGAUAACUACUCGAAAGAGUGGCUAAUACCGCAUGAGAUCUAUGGAUGAAAGCAGGGGACCUUUGGGCCUUGUGCUACUAGAGCGGCCGAUGGCAGAUUAGGUAGUUGGUGGGAUAAAAGCUUACCAAGCCUACGAUCUGUAGCUGGUCUGAGAGGACGAUCAGCCACACUGGGACUGAGACACGGCCCAGACUCCUACGGGAGGCAGCAGUGGGGAAUUUUGGACAAAGGGCGCAAGCCUGAUCCAGCAAUGCCGCGUGCAGGAUGAAGGCCUUCGGGUUGUAAACUGCUUUUGUACGGAACGAAAAGUCUUUGGUUAAUACCCUGGGAUCAUGACGGUACCGUAAGAAUAAGCACCGGCUAACUACGUG
Molecule: ribosomal RNA, 484 nt
Filed under: uncultured bacterium
Lineage: Bacteria
Description: partial 16S ribosomal RNA
Rfam family: Bacterial small subunit ribosomal RNA
Source: RNAcentral